CCUACGGGUGGCAGCAGUGAGGAAUAUUGGUCAAUGGACGAGAGUCUGAACCAGCCAAGUAGCGUGAAGGAUGACUGCCCUAUGGGUUGUAAACUUCUUUUAUAUGGGAAUAAAAUGUUCCACGUGUGGGAUUUUGUAUGUACCAUAUGCAUAAGGAUCGGCUAACUCCGUGCCAGCAGCCGCGGUAAUACGGAGGAUCCGAGCGUUAUCCGGUUUAAUUGGGUUUAAAGGGAGCGUAGGUGGAUUGUUAAGUCAGUUGUGAAAGUUUGCGGCUCAACCGUAAAAUUGCAGUUGAAACUGGCAGUCUUGAGUGCAGUAGAGGUGGGCGGAAUUCGUGGUGUAGCGGUGAAAUGCUUAGAUAUCACGAAGAACUCCGGUUGCGAAGGCAGUUCACUGGACUGCAACUGACACUGAGGCUCGAAAGUGUGGGUAUCAAACAGGAUUAGAUACCCGAGUAGUC
RNAcentral lists this ribosomal RNA (460 nucleotides) under uncultured bacterium. Its description in RNAcentral is "partial 16S ribosomal RNA". It matches the Rfam family "Bacterial small subunit ribosomal RNA", at positions 338 to 795 of the family's 1533-position model. The record is from RNAcentral.